RNAcentral lists this unclassified non-coding RNA (243 nucleotides) under Hevea brasiliensis (rubber tree). The record is from RNAcentral. Lineage: Eukaryota; Viridiplantae; Streptophyta; Magnoliopsida; Malpighiales; Euphorbiaceae.
CCAUUUGCAAAUAAAAUGAAUGAAAAUUUAAUGAAAUAAUGCCACAAGGGUCCCACAAUUAUUUGUAAAAUUUUUGUUUGCAAGUAAGUCCCACAAUUUAAUUAGAAAGUUGAUUUUUAAUUGAAAAAUAGUUCCAUGUCAGCAGAAAUAGCCAUUAAUGGCGUUAGGGUGUUUGGACCUUCUUUGCUAAAGGACUUAAUCCCAUAAUAUUGGUUUGUCAAAAUCCAAACCACAGGAAACUAC